RNAcentral lists this long non-coding RNA (495 nucleotides) under Pan troglodytes (chimpanzee). RNAcentral describes it as "long non-coding RNA NONPTRT015628". The record is from RNAcentral. Lineage: Eukaryota; Metazoa; Chordata; Mammalia; Primates; Hominidae.
AGGAUCUUUGAUUUUGGAGCACAAGCCUUCUGCGUGCUACUGACUGGGUCCUGGCCUCCCUCCUUCCAUGGCAUCGUCGUGAAUGGGAAUUUCCACCACUUCCUCCAUUAGGUGUAAACUCACUUUUAGAAAAACAGUGAACCAUGGGACUGUACUAACAGAAGAACAACAAACGCCCACCACAAGCCCCGCCUGUCUGUGACGUGGUGGCCAAUGCAGUUAGGAAGAGAGAGCUCUCAUCUCAGACUCGUUCACAUCGAGCUGGUCAUGACUGGAAAGUUUACACGUAUUGGCAAAUAUGCAUGUUUUAAACUAUGGUGAAACCCCAUCUCUACUGAAAAUAUUAAAAAUUAGCCGGGCAUGGUGGUGGGCGCCUUCAGUGAGUUUCUGAAUUAGUGUGGGGCAUUGAGGAAAUAUUUCAGGGACAGAACUUCACCCCAGCCCAGGCCUUUUCUCACAUGCAAAGGCAGAUGCAAGGGCAGAAGUCAUCGUCUU